RNAcentral lists this transfer RNA (73 nucleotides) under Sphaerodactylus townsendi. RNAcentral's name for it is "tRNA-Ala". Lineage: Eukaryota; Metazoa; Chordata; Lepidosauria; Squamata; Sphaerodactylidae. The record is from RNAcentral.
GGGGACUGUGCAUCAGCAGAUGAGGUUCUGCUUUGCAAGUAGAAGGUUCCAGGUUCAUUCCCCGGCAUCUCCA